Delphinapterus leucas (beluga whale) is the source of this 1529-nucleotide long non-coding RNA. RefSeq lists it as uncharacterized. Lineage: Eukaryota; Metazoa; Chordata; Mammalia; Artiodactyla; Monodontidae. The record is from RefSeq and is a predicted model, not a curated record.
GUGGAAGGAAUUCUCUGGGCAUAGGCUGCUGUCAGAUUCUGUUUUCCUACCUUGGUGAUCUGGUGUGUGAUCAGCAGAAGGGUUUAACAUCGGUGGCUCUGUGUGACAAUGGCUUGCCUACGGAAAAAUGGACAACUGCUGGACUUCGGUAAAUUCGUCCUGGUGGUGGACCAACUGCAUAUUCAAUCCCCAGAGAAGAGACUGCUACUAGAAUAUUGUUAAAGUUUUCUUCAUAUUCCAGAUGAUGAAGAUUUACAAAGAGCAUUUCAACACUCAUGUGACCAUUCAGGAUGAUUUUCCAUGUAACCUCCAGGAGAGCUGGGACCUUACCUGUCUUGUUCCUUACUGUAUUUCCUGCUUCUAGAAUGGCGUCUGGUACAGCAAGCUGAGGCUCAGAGAAUUGAAGCGUCUCAAACAAGUGGCAAAGCGGCGUUCAAACUCAUGCUUGUCCGACUGGAAAGUAAUCAAACCUAAAGACUCAUGAGAGGAAAGCAGAAAUCGUUGCUGUGAGGAGAGAGCUGCAGACUCAAGCUUGAUAGGCCAGGAGGAGCUGAUGUCAAGUUUUGGAUUCUGCCCUGCAACUGUGCAGGAGGUCUUGACCUGUAGGCAGUGGGCUCGGGGCUGAUUCAUUCAGACUAUGAAUCAGGAUCUUAAGAAGAAUUGAAAACAGGACCCAUGACCCUAGUCUUGUUCUCUGUUCCGACUGCUAACUGCUGACUGCCAUCAGCUCCCCACGCUGUGAAUAUGGAGAGCUCUGUAAAUGCUGACUGACAAACAGGCUGAGAGAUAAUUGGACAUCAUUUCUGGCUGGCAGACUUUUUUGACUCUUUUCAAGGCUAGUAAAACUUUUCUGCCUUGAUUCUUACAUCCUGGCCAUUCUUAGAGAAGGGAGGUGGGACUCAGAGGAGGGUCAAACAGUUGUUCACUUCAGGUACAAGGACGUUUCCAGUCCAUCCAGAGAGCACCAGGGGGAGAAGGUUCAGGAGUGGUGGCACCGGUCGAGUCAGCUGCCACGGAUCCUGGCCAUGGUCACGGGCAUCAGGCACAUUCGUGACCACCCCUGGUGGGCAGGCAGCAUCUUCCACAGACUCUCUCCCUCACGCUCACUCUCUUUCCUCAACCACCUCAAGCCCUCAGUUCUUAUGUUACCACCAUCCCUUCCUGCUAGGCUGUCUCCUGAAUUACACUGUGCUAAGAGUCUCUUCCCCAGCCUAGAGUUCUACUGCAAGAGGCACUUCCAGGACUGGAGCUUCAGAAAGGGUAGUGUCCGCUGUGUUUUUUAAAAAAAUUUUUAUUCUUAUACAAUUUUUAAAGGUUACUUUCCAUUUACAGUUAUUAAAAAAUAUUGGCUAUACUCCCCAUGUUUUUCCAUCCAUCCUUGAGUCUAUCUUACACCCAAUAGCUUCUACCUCCCACUCCCCCGCCCCUAUGUUCCCCCCACCACUGGUAACAAGUUUGUUCUCUAGAUCUGUGAGUCUGCUUCUUUUUUGCUAUAUUUACUAGUUUGUUGUAUUUUUUAGAUUCCACAU